This 914-nucleotide ribosomal RNA is filed under the name uncultured marine archaeon. Its description in RNAcentral is "bacterial SSU rRNA". It matches the Rfam family "Archaeal small subunit ribosomal RNA", at positions 1 to 922 of the family's 1478-position model. The record is from RNAcentral.
UUCCGGUUGAUCCCGCCGGACCUGACUGCUAUCGGAUUGAUACUAAGCCAUGCGAGUCAUUGUAGCAAUACAAGGCAUACGGCUCAGUAACGCGUAGUCAACCUAACCUAUGGACGGGAAUAACCUCGGGAAACUGAGAAUAAUGCCCGAUAGAACAUUAUGCCUGGAAUGGCUUAUGUUCCAAAUGAUUUAUCGCCGUAGGAUGGGACUGCGGCCUAUCAGUUUGUUGGUGAGGUAAUGGCCCACCAAGACUAUUACAGGUACGGGCUCUGAGAGGAGUAGCCCGGAGAUGGGUACUGAGACACGGACCCAGGCCCUAUGGGGCGCAGCAGGCGAGAAAACUUUGCAAUGUGCGAAAGCACGACAAGGUUAAUCCGAGUGAUUUGUGCUAAACGAAUCUUUUGUUAGUCCUAGAAACACUAACGAAUAAGGGGUGGGCAAGUUCUGGUGUCAGCCGCCGCGGUAAAACCAGCACCUCAAGUGGUCAGGAUGAUUAUUGGGCCUAAAGCAUCCGUAGCCGGCUCUGUAAGUUUUCGGUUAAAUCUGUACGCUUAACGUACAGGCUGCCGGGAAUACUGCAAAGCUAGGGAGUGGGAGAGGUAGACGGUACUCGGUAGGAAGUGGUAAAAUGCUUUGAUCUAUCGAUGACCACCUGUGGCGAAGGCGGUCUACCAGAACACGUCCGACGGUGAGGGAUGAAAGCUGGGGGAGCAAACCGGAUUAGAUACCCGGGUAGUCCCAGCUGUAAACUAUGCAAACUCAGUGAUGCAUUGGCUUGUGGCCAAUGCAGUGCUGCAGGGAAGCCGUUAAGUUUGCCGCCUGGGAAGUACGUACGCAAGUAUGAAACUUAAAGGAAUUGGCGGGGGAGCACCACAAGGGGUGAAGCCUGCGGUUCAAUUGGAUUCAACGCCGGG